AAGAGGGGGAGGGGUUUUCUAACGCCAUAAAGAUGGGAAGUGUUUGCUAAGACAAUGAAGGACAAAGGGUGCAAUGCCUGGCACUGAAGAGGGCCGGGUUGGAAUCCCAGCUUUAUUUUGAUGUGUAGGAUGAGUUCAGUGAGCUUUGCUCGCUGCAAAGCAAGGAGAGGGAGUGUGAGAGCCUCGCUGUUGUGAGCUUUGCAGCAAAGCUUCAUUUAGGUACUGGUGUCUGGGUGAAAGUUCAGGAUUUACCACAAAGGAAAAAAAGGAAAAAAUAACCCAAACAUCAUCUUGAAGGCACAUGUUGGAAAACACCUUUCAAGGAGAACAAAGCCUUCCCUGCUGGGCUCUUCAGUGAUCACAAUCUCUGCAAGAACAGCGAGUGAGGGGAGCUCUUUGGAGAGGCAGAACUGCUUGGAUGUGGGGAAGU
Molecule: long non-coding RNA, 430 nt
Organism: Hirundo rustica (Barn swallow)
Lineage: Eukaryota; Metazoa; Chordata; Aves; Passeriformes; Hirundinidae
Exons: 3
Source: RefSeq, a predicted model, not a curated record